Dermochelys coriacea (leatherback sea turtle) is the source of this 1265-nucleotide long non-coding RNA. RefSeq lists it as uncharacterized. The transcript has 2 exons. The record is from RefSeq and is a predicted model, not a curated record. Lineage: Eukaryota; Metazoa; Chordata; Testudines; Dermochelyidae.
UCCUUCCCUGAGCGUGACACGUUCGUGCUCCUCCCACUCCCUCCCGGAGCGUGCUAACGCCACCAAGCAGCUGUUAAGCAGCGGCCGGGUGGCAAGCGCUGGGAGGUAGGUGGAGGAGUGGGGAUGCAGCACGCUCAGGGGAGGAGGGAGAGGAGGAGGUGGGGUGGGGAGUGAGCGGAGCUUGGCUGCCGGUGGGUGCAGAGCAUCCACUAAUUUUUCCCCUUGGGUGCUCCAGACCUGGAGCACCCAUGGAGUCACUGCCUAUGGGAUCUUUAAUCAUCAGACCCAUUUAAGUAGAAGCUCCUCCUUACUUAGGGAGGGAGAGCAGCAUCAGCUGUAAACUAUUGGCUAAGAAUAUCGUGUGGCCUGGCUAAAGUAAGGAGGAGCUUCGUGAAGAAACAAACACACUGUUGUGGCAAACAGUGUUUGAGACAGGUCAUGAGAGCAGGGAAACAGGGAUAGCUAAUGAUGCCUGUACCCGCAAGAACGACGUGGUGGAGAAACAGAUCGCUGGGCCAAGAUUUGUCUGAGACUCUGGACCCCAGUCAGGGGAACACAAAUGAUUCAAACAAAGGGCUGUACAGCAGCUGCAUGAUGGUUCUUCAGAGGACUUGGAGGUUCUGGACACCAACAACUCCAAAGGGCUGAGAGGAUUGGGCCGGUCUGUUUUUGCCCAGAUCCAAAACCAGAUGCUCAACAGAAUGCUGAAACAGAGGGGGAUGCUUAUUCUAUAGGUCUGUACUAUCUAAAGUUGAAGGAGAAGUUUGGUAUUCAGCCUGUGCCAGUUCAUAACCGUAAAACCGUGAUGCUGCAAUUGUGCGAGUGGCUGUGCACGGAAUCAUCAAGCGCUGCCUGAGAGAGAAACAAAAUGAGGAUUGCCCUGGGUGCGCCAUAGAGGCAUCAUGCCUGCGUGUUCUGGUCUUUAGCUGAUGUGAACUGUAAAAUUAAAGAAAUUAGCAGUAGUUUGUGUCUGGAGAGUGUGUUAAACAUCAUCAUCACUUCGGGAUAUGCGCUACAGGGCCUCUGUUUAAGCCAGGAACAUUUAGCUCUAGGGGCAGAAUUGGUGGACAAAGUGACAGAGGCCGAGGACCCAAAUAGCGUUUUAGAUGAAAACAUCAAACCGACAGAUAAAUGUUUAAUGCAAAAUGUUGAACGUCUUCUUUGUUCAGCAAAUUACAAAAUCUUGCUAAGAAAAAACACUAAAAGUUAGAGUGUGAUUUGGGAACAAAACAGGGUGUGUUGUAAAAUAAAAUGUCAGUUGAAAA